AGAUUUGAAAUCUGGCCCUCCCCGCGGGGGCCCGAGUUGUAAUCUGCAGAGGAUGCUUCUGGCGCGGCGCCUUCCGAGUUCCCUGGAACGGGACGCCACAGAGGGUGAGAGCCCCGUCUGGUCGGACGCCAAGCCUGUGUGAAGCUCCUUCGACGAGUCGAGUAGUUUGGGAAUGCUGCUCAAAACGGGAGGUAUAUGUCUUCUAAAGCUAAAUACCGGCCAGAGACCGAUAGCGCACAAGUAGAGUGAUCGAAAGAUGAAAAGCACUUUGAAAAGAGGGUUAAACAGUACGUGAAAUUGUUGAAAGGGAAGCGCUUGCGACCAGACGUGGGCGCGGCGAAUCAUCCGGCGUUCUCGCCGGUGCACUUCGUCGCGCCCAGGCCAGCAUCGGUUCGCUGCGGGGGAUAAAGGCGGCGGGAACGUGGCUCCCCCGGGAGUGUUAUAGCCCGCCGCGCAAUGCCCUGCAGCGGACCGAGGUCCGCGCAUCUGCUAGGAUGCUGGCGUAAUGGUCAUCAGCGACCCGUCUUGAAACACGGACCAAGGAGUCGUCUUCGUAUGCGAGUGUUCGGGUGUCAAACCCUUACGCGCAAUGAAAGUGAACGCAGGUGAGAGCUUCGGCGCAUCAUCGACCGAUCCUGAUGUUCUCGGAUGGAUUUGAGUAAGAGCAUACGGGGCCGGACCCGAAAGAAGGUGAACUAUGCCUGUGUAGGGUGAAGCCAGAGGAAACUCUGGUGGAGGCUCGCAGCGGUUCUGACGUGCAAAUCGAUCGUCA
RNAcentral lists this ribosomal RNA (772 nucleotides) under Podocrella peltata. Its description in RNAcentral is "eukaryotic LSU rRNA". It matches the Rfam family "Eukaryotic large subunit ribosomal RNA", at positions 111 to 907 of the family's 3401-position model. The record is from RNAcentral. Lineage: Eukaryota; Fungi; Ascomycota; Sordariomycetes; Hypocreales.